This 287-nucleotide ribosomal RNA is filed under the name uncultured bacterium. Its description in RNAcentral is "partial 16S ribosomal RNA". It matches the Rfam family "Bacterial small subunit ribosomal RNA", at positions 333 to 612 of the family's 1533-position model. The record is from RNAcentral.
GGGAUCCUACGGGGGGCAGCAGUAGGGAAUUUUCGUCAAUGGGCGCAAGCCUGAACGAGCAAUGCCGCGUGAACGAGGAAGGUCUUCGGAUCGUAAAGUUCUGUUGAAGGGGAAAAAGAGCGGAGAGAGGAAAUGGUCUCCGAUUGAUAUUACCCUUCGAGGAAGUCACGGCUAACUACGUGCCAGCAGCCGCGGUAAUACGUAGGUGGCGAGCGUUAUCCGGAAUGAUUGGGCGUAAAGUGUGCGUAGGCGGCCUGUUAAGCCUGGAGGGAAAGGUACCGGCUCAA